Molecule: transfer RNA, 72 nt
Filed under: Anaerolineae bacterium
Lineage: Bacteria; Bacillati; Chloroflexota; Anaerolineae
Description: tRNA-Arg
Rfam family: tRNA
About the family: Transfer RNA (tRNA) molecules are approximately 80 nucleotides in length. Their secondary structure includes four short double-helical elements and three loops (D, anti-codon, and T loops).
Source: RNAcentral
GCCCCCAUAGCUCAGCGGAUAGAGCGUUGCCCUCCGAAGGCAGAGGCACAGGUUCGAGUCUUGUUGGGGGUA